This 468-nucleotide ribosomal RNA is filed under the name uncultured bacterium. Its description in RNAcentral is "partial 16S ribosomal RNA". It matches the Rfam family "Bacterial small subunit ribosomal RNA", at positions 28 to 507 of the family's 1533-position model. The record is from RNAcentral.
GACGAACGCUGGCGGCGUGCUUAACACAUGCAAGUCGAACGGAAAGGCCCUGCUUGCAGGGUGCUCGAGUGGCGAACGGGUGAGUAACACGUGGGUGAUCUGCCCCUUACUUUGGGAUAAGCCUGGGAAACUGGGUCUAAUACUGGAUAGGACCAUGCUGUAGGUGGUGUGGUGGAAAGAUUAGUUUCGGUAAGGGAUGAGCUCGCGGCCUAUCAGCUUGUUGGUGGGGUAAUGGCCUACCAAGGCGUCGACGGGUAGCCGGCCUGAGAGGGUGGACGGCCACAUUGGGACUGAGAUACGGCCCAGACUCCUACGGGAGGCAGCAGUGGGGAAUAUUGCACAAUGGGCGCAAGCCUGAUGCAGCGACGCCGCGUGGGGGAUGACGGCCUUCGGGUCGUAAACUCCUUUCAGCCAUGACGAAGCCUUCGGGUGACGGUAGUGGUAGAAGAAGCACCGGCUAACUACGUG